AACAAACGCUGGCGGCGUGUCUUAAGCAUGCAAGUUGAGCGGCAAGGAGGAGAGAUCCUCCCUAGAGCGGCGGACUGGUGAGUAACGCGUGGGUAAUCUAUCGUAGGCAUGGGGAUAGUCACUAGAAAUAGUGGGUAAUACCGAAUACGUUCCAUGAGGGGAGUAUUCAUGGAAGAAAGGGUGCUACGGCACUGGCCUUAGGUGAGCUCGCGUCCCAUUAGCUAGUUGGUGAGGUAAAGGCCCACCAAGGCGAUGAUGGGUAGCCGGCCUGAGAGGGUGUACGGCCACACUGGGACUGAGAUACGGCCCAGACUCCUACGGGAGCAGCAGCUAAGAAUAUUCCGCAAUGGACGAAAGUCUGACGGAGCGACGCCGCGUGGAUGAAGAAGGCCGAAAGGUUGUAAAGUUCUUUUGCUAGGGGAGAAUAAGUGAGGGAGGGAAUGCCCUAUGAUGACAAGGACUAGCGAAUAAGCCCCGGCAACUACGUGCCAGC
This 493-nucleotide ribosomal RNA is filed under the name uncultured bacterium. Its description in RNAcentral is "bacterial SSU rRNA". It matches the Rfam family "Bacterial small subunit ribosomal RNA", at positions 29 to 512 of the family's 1533-position model. The record is from RNAcentral.